Molecule: small RNA, 119 nt
Filed under: Pseudomonas putida
Lineage: Bacteria; Pseudomonadati; Pseudomonadota; Gammaproteobacteria; Pseudomonadales; Pseudomonadaceae
Source: RNAcentral
UGUGCACACGGACAUGCACAGGCUUCCAGGAGAGCCAAGACAUCGCAAGACGCGAUUCAUCAGAAGAUGUUUNGGACAAGCAGACUACGAAAUUUUGGCGGUUCAACCGCCCUUUUUUG